Molecule: ribosomal RNA, 253 nt
Filed under: uncultured bacterium
Lineage: Bacteria
Description: partial 16S ribosomal RNA
Rfam family: Bacterial small subunit ribosomal RNA
Source: RNAcentral
UACAGAGGUCCCAAGCGUUGUUCGGAUUCACUGGGCGUAAAGGGUGCGUAGGCGGUCGGGUAAGUCCGAUGUGAAAUCUCACAGCUUAACUGUGAAACUGCAUUGGAUACUAUCCGGCUCGAGGAAUGGAGGGGAGACUGGAAUACUUGGUGUAGCAGUGAAAUGCGUAGAUAUCAAGUGGAACACCAGUGGCGAAGGCGAGUCUCUGGACAUUUCCUGACGCUGAGGCACGAAAGCCAGGGGAGCAAACGGG